Molecule: ribosomal RNA, 468 nt
Filed under: uncultured bacterium
Lineage: Bacteria
Description: partial 16S ribosomal RNA
Rfam family: Bacterial small subunit ribosomal RNA
Source: RNAcentral
GACGAACGCUGGCGGCGUGCUUAACACAUGCGAGUCGAACGGAAAGGCCCUGCUUUUGUGGGGUGCUCGAGUGGCGAACGGGUGAGUAACACGUGAGUAACCUGCCCUUGACUUUGGGAUAACUUCAGGAAACUGGGGCUAAUACCGGAUAGGAGCUCCUGCUGCAUGGUGGGGGUUGGAAAGUUUCGGCGGUUGGGGAUGGACUCGCGGCUUAUCAGCUUGUUGGUGGGGUAGUGGCUUACCAAGGCUUUGACGGGUAGCCGGCCUGAGAGGGUGACCGGCCACAUUGGGACUGAGAUACGGCCCAGACUCCUACGGGAGGCAGCAGUGGGGAAUAUUGCACAAUGGGCGGAAGCCUGAUGCAGCAACGCCGCGUGCGGGAUGACGGCCUUCGGGUUGUAAACCGCUUUCGCCUGUGACGAAGCGUGAGUGACGGUAAUGGGUAGAGAAGCACCGGCUAACUACGUG